ACCAUUGGGGUUCUCCCCUUGCGGGAGAUUAAAACGGGAACCGUGUGUAAAUCAUGGGCUGUCGCGCAACUGUUAGUUCCAAAAAGGGCUUGUGCAACAAUGUCACUGAAGCAAUUCGGGAAGGCGCACUAGUGGAACGAGCCAGGAGACCUGCCUCAGAUGG
This 163-nucleotide non-coding RNA is filed under the name bovine gut metagenome. The record is from RNAcentral.